CUUCAGAGGAUGUGCUGAGUAAAGAUACUGGGGAGUGUGCAAUAUGCUUGGAAGAGCUGCAGCAAGGCGAUACUAUAGCACGACUGCCUUGCCUCUGCAUAUAUCAUAAAGGCUGCAUAGAUGAAUGGUUUGAAGUAAAUAGAUCUUGCCCUGAGCAUCCAUCAGAUUAAGACAAGAUUCAUGGUUUUAGCUGCUUCCACUGAUCAGAAGACACAGGAGAUGUGAGGUUGCCAUGCUGAGCACAGCGUGCCUGGCCUGAGACAUACAGUUCUUUGUGGCUGAAGGAGACAGAGAUGGACGGUGACACGGAAGAAGCAUUGUAGAUGCCGUACUUGCCAGUAGUGCUUGGUACACUAAACACUCAUGUGAAGGACACACAGGGAUUUUGAAAAUGCUGCACAUUGUGUAACAAUCGACUCCCCACAGACAUUACUGACAGUGUUUUGUAUCGACGGCCAAAGUUCCUAAUUUCAGCCUAAGUUCUGGUUCUGUGAAGAAGCGGUUUAUGGGACACGUUUUCGACCGCCUCAGGUGAGAGCGGAGAUGUUCAAUACAUGCUGUGUGAGACCCUUGCAGAAGGAUGGCCCCGAUUUUGAGUGGGAAUGCUUUCACCUUCACCUUGGCUGAAGAAGCGUAAAUGGCAAACUAAAUAUAAUCUAACAGUGUGACCUUAAUUUACUGAAUUCACACCCUGUUUUACGUUUUUCACUUUUUUUCCAAGAACAGAAAACAAACUUCUCUGCAUAGGAAUACUAUAUUUCAAAAUUUUGUAACUAAAACUUUGUCACAAUGCAGUCCAAAGAGUAAAACCAAGACAGGUAACUAA
Long non-coding RNA from Apaloderma vittatum (bar-tailed trogon), 826 nucleotides. RefSeq lists it as uncharacterized. The transcript is spliced from 3 exons. NCBI's taxonomy places the organism in Eukaryota, Metazoa, Chordata, Aves, Trogoniformes, Trogonidae. The record is from RefSeq and is a predicted model, not a curated record.